AGUGAACGCUGGCGGUAGGCCUAACACAUGCGAGUCGAACGGCAGCACAGUAAGAGCUUGCUCUUACGGGUGGCGAGUGGCGGACGGGUGAGGAAUACAUCGGAAUCUACUUUUUCGUGGGGGAUAACGUAGGGAAACUUACGCUAAUACCGCAUAAGACCUACGGGUGAAAGCAGGGGAUAUUCGGACCUUGCGCGAUUGAAUGAGCCGAUGUCGGAUUAGCUCGUUGGCGGGGUAAAGGCCCACCAAGGCGACGAUCCGUAGCUGGUCUGAGAGGAUGAUCAGCCACACCGGAACUGAGACACGGUCCAGACUCCUACGGGAGGCAGCAGUGGGGAAUAUUGGACAAUGGGCGCAAGCCUGAUCCAGCCAUACCGCGUGGGUGAAGAAGGCCUUCGGGUUGUAAAGCCCUUUUGUUGGGAAAGAAAAGCAGCAGGUUAAUACCCCGCUGUUCUGACGGUACCCAAAGAAUAAGCACCGGCUAACUUCGUG
RNAcentral lists this ribosomal RNA (492 nucleotides) under uncultured bacterium. Its description in RNAcentral is "partial 16S ribosomal RNA". It matches the Rfam family "Bacterial small subunit ribosomal RNA", at positions 29 to 507 of the family's 1533-position model. The record is from RNAcentral.